GGAGUGGCUGAAUGGUAGGGCACCUUUUUGGCAUAAAGAAGGUCCCAGGUUCAAUCCCUGGCAUCUCCA
RNAcentral lists this transfer RNA (69 nucleotides) under Sphaerodactylus townsendi. RNAcentral describes it as "tRNA-Ala". It matches the Rfam family "tRNA". Rfam says of the family: Transfer RNA (tRNA) molecules are approximately 80 nucleotides in length. Their secondary structure includes four short double-helical elements and three loops (D, anti-codon, and T loops). Lineage: Eukaryota; Metazoa; Chordata; Lepidosauria; Squamata; Sphaerodactylidae. The record is from RNAcentral.